Molecule: ribosomal RNA, 791 nt
Filed under: Candidatus Karelsulcia muelleri
Lineage: Bacteria; Pseudomonadati; Bacteroidota; Flavobacteriia; Flavobacteriales
Description: bacterial SSU rRNA
Rfam family: Bacterial small subunit ribosomal RNA
Source: RNAcentral
AAUAUUAACUAGAAUUAACUAUUUAUUAACGACUUGUUAAAGUAUUAACGGCAUGAAAUGGGCAUAUGUCUGAUUAGCUAGUUGGUGUGAUAAAGGCUCACCAAGGCAAUGAUCAGUAGGGGACCUGAGAAGGUGUACCCCCACAUUGGUACUGAGACACGGACCAAACUUUUACGGGAGGCAGCAGUGAGGAAUAUUGGUCAAUGGAGGCAACUCUGAACCAGUUACGCCGCGUGCAGUAAGAAGGCCAGAAAGGUUGUAAACUGCUUUUGUAUAUGAAUAAAAAAUUCUACUUGUAGAAAGAAUUGAAGGUAAUAUACGAAUAAGUAUCGGCUAACUCUGUGCCAGCAGCCGCGGUAAGACAGAGGAUAUAAGCGUUAUCCGGAAUUAUUGGGUUUAAAGGGUGCGUAGGUUGUUUUUUAAGUCAGUAGUGAAAUCUGACAGCUUAACUGUCAAACUGCUACUGAUACUGUAAAACUAGAGUGGGGUAGGAGUAACUGGAAUGUGUGGUGUAGCGGUGAAAUGCAUAGAUAUCACACAGAACACCAAUAGCGAAAGCAGGUUACUAGAUCUCAACUGACACUGAGGCACGAAGGCAUGGGUAGCAAACAGGAUUAGAUACCCUGGUAGUCCACGCAGUAAACUAUGAUCACUAACUGUUGGAUAGAAAAUAAAAGAAAAUAUUCAGUGGUUAAGCUAAAGUGAUAAGUGAUCCACCUGAGAAGUACGAUCGCAAGAUUGAAACUCAAAGGAAUUGACGGGGGCUUGCACAAUUGGUGGAACAUGUGGUU